RNA transcript from Octodon degus (degu), 1111 nucleotides. It is a transcript of the gene named actin-related protein 3 pseudogene, with no coding region annotated. The transcript has a single exon. NCBI's taxonomy places the organism in Eukaryota, Metazoa, Chordata, Mammalia, Rodentia, Octodontidae. The record is from RefSeq and is a predicted model, not a curated record.
GAUCAGAGGAGGGUGAUGAAAGGUGUUGAUGAUUUAGACUUCUUCAUUGGUGAUAAAGCAAUAGAAAAACCUACAUAUGCAACAAAGGGGCCAAUUCAUCAUGGUGUACUUGAAGAUUGGGGUUUAAUGGAAAGGUUUACAGAGGAAGUGAUCUUUAAAUAUUUAAGAGCAGAACCUGAAGACCAUUUUUUUCUUUUGACUGAACCUCCACUGAAUACUACAGAAAACAGGGAAUAUACUGCUGAAAUAAUGUUUGAGUCCUUCAGUGUUCCAGGCUUGUACAUUGAUGUGCAGGCUGUUCUUGCCUUAGCUGCAUCCUAGACCUCAAGCCAAGUUGGAGAACGAACAUUGACUGGUACAGAAAUAGACAGCGGUGAUGGUGUUACUCAUGUUAUUCCUGUGGCUGAAGGGUAUGUGAUUGGCAGCUGUAUUUUUAAGCAUAUUGCAAUUGUGGGAUGAGAUAUAACAUCCAGCUGUUGAGAGAUCGAGAAGUAGGAAUCCCUCCAGAACAAUCUCUGGAAACUGCUAAGGCAGUAAAGGAGUGCUAUAGUUAUGUAUGCCCAGAUUUAGUAAAAGAGUUUAACAAGUAUGACACAGAUGGAUCAAAAUGUAUUAAACAGUAUACUGGAAUCAAUGCCAUGUCAAAGAAAGAGUUUUCCAUUGAUGUUGGUUAUGAGAGAUUCUUGGGACCUGAAAUCUUUUUUCAUCCUGAGUUUGCUAAUUCAGACUUCACACAACCUAUUUCAGAAGUUGUAGAUGAAGUAAUUCAGAAUUGUCCUAUUGAUGUCUGAUGUUCUCUCAACAAGAAUAUUAUCCUCUCUGGAGGCCCAACCAUGUUCAGGGACUUUGGACGCCACUUGCAAAGAGAUCUCAAAAGAGCUGUAGAUGCCAGGCUGAAAUUCAGUGAGGAAUUGAGUGGCAAUAGAUUGAAGCCAAAACCAAUUGAUGUACAAGUUAUCACACACCAUAUGCAGCGAUAUGCAGUUUGGUUUGGAGGAUCAAGGCUGGCUUCCACACCUGAGUUCUACCAUGUAUGCACACCAAAAAGGAUUAUGAAGAAAUUGGACCUAGCAUUUGUCAUCACAAUCCAGUGUUUGGAAUCAUGUUGUAA